GACGAACGCUGGCGGCGUGCUUAACACAUGCAAGUCGAACGGAAAGGCCCUGCUCUUGUGGGGUGCUCGAGUGGCGAACGGGUGUGUAACACGUGAGUAACCUGCCCUUGAUUUUGGGAUAACUUCAGGAAACUGGGGCUAAUACCGGAUAGGAGCCCCUGCUGCAUGGUGGGGGUUGGAAUGUUUCGGCGGUUGGGGAUGGACUCGCGGCUUAUCAGCUUGUUGGUGGGGUAGUGGCUUACCAAGGCUUUGACGGGUAGCCGGCGUGAGAGGGUGACCGGCCACAUUGGGACUGGGAUACGGCCCAGAUUCCGAGGGGAGGCAGCAGUGGGGAAUAUUGCACAAUGGACGGAAGCCUGAUGCACCAACGCCGCGUGCGGAAUGACGGCCUUAGGGUUGAAAACGGCUUUGGCCAGGAACAAACCGUGAGUGACGGUAAUGGGUAAAGAAGCACCGGCUAACUACGUG
Molecule: ribosomal RNA, 468 nt
Filed under: uncultured bacterium
Lineage: Bacteria
Description: partial 16S ribosomal RNA
Rfam family: Bacterial small subunit ribosomal RNA
Source: RNAcentral